This 396-nucleotide unclassified non-coding RNA is filed under the name soil metagenome. Its description in RNAcentral is "partial contains 5.8S ribosomal RNA, internal transcribed spacer 2, and large subunit ribosomal RNA". The stretch from base 1 to 122 matches the Rfam family "5.8S ribosomal RNA", at positions 35 to 154 of the family's 154-position model. The record is from RNAcentral.
GAUGAAGAACGUAGCGAAAUGCGAUACUUGGUGUGAAUUGCAGAAUCCCGUGAACCAUCGAGUCUUUGAACGCAAGUUGCGCCCGAAGCCAUUUGGUUGAGGGCACGUCUGCCUGGGCGUCACAUAUCGUUGCCCGAUGCCUAUUGUACUGUGAUAGGAAAUUCUAGGGCGAAAGAUGGCUUCCCGUGAGCGUUGUUGCCUCGCGGUUGGUUGAAAAUUGAGUCAUUGGUAGGGUGUGCCAUGAUAGAUGGUGGUCGAGUUUGCACGAGACCGAUCAUGUGUGCGCUCCCCAAAAUAUGGACUCUUUGACCCCACACGCGUCUUUUGACGCUCAUGACGAGACCUCAGGUCAGGCGGGGCUACCCGCUGAGUUUAAGCAUAUCAAUAAGCGGAGGA